CUGGCGAUAGAUCGGUGCGGUUCGUUCAAUUGGUCGAUGAAGAGUCAGAACCGCGAUGUAGAGUCGGGGUUGUAUGUCCGAUCGGUCGACUGUUGUUAAGUCGAAAUCGGUAGUCGGUUGAUCUAAAUCGGAGGUUGAUUGACUUAUCCCAACACUCCCUAAUAAAAAUAUGAGUGCUGUGCUUCCCAAAUUUUCAUCCGGUUCCACCUCCAUCAACCAUUUUCAGAACCAUGAAGAGGCCGAGUUUGGUUCUCGCUUUCAUGGCAGUCGCAGCCGCCAUCUCGGUUGAUAUCGCUUGUUCUGCAACGCUGACCACCCCAAAACCGGCGACGAAUGCCCUUGAAUACGGCGUGGAUAAGGAAGUUCGUAAGUGCUAGGAUAUCCAUUAAUCCCUUUUUUACGUGGUGACAUACGUUAUCCAUUUCCUCGCUAUUCAGCAUACCUUGACAUUCUUCUCCUCACUUUUUUGGUGAACAGCAUGUCCAGCUCCCUGCGACAAGAAGUGCUGCGGCUGCAUCUACUAUCAGACCGUGCCAAAAUGCAUCUUUUGUUUGGACGAAUGCCCAAGUGCUUGAUGCAAAAAAGAUGGAACAUCCUUAGUAGAGAGAAUCACCACCAAGCUUGUCUUGAUUUGUUUUUGAUAACAAGUCUUCUCUCAAACAAAAAAUAUCUUUUGGCCUUUUUUUUUUCCCAUGUUGUUCAGUGCUCUAGUAUUCUUCUCAAAAAAUGGAAGCCAUCCACAAGAGUCUAGGAUGGAAACAUAAGCAUCAUGCUAUAUAUAAGUUCGAUAUUCCUAUGCAAACAUAUAACAUGAAGAUUAUGUUCGAUGUUCCUAUGCAAAUAUCUUCAUGCUAUAUGCUUCCCACAUCCUUGCUCGGAUAAACCGGUGAGUCUUUAAGCC
Molecule: long non-coding RNA, 901 nt
Filed under: Elaeis guineensis (African oil palm)
Lineage: Eukaryota; Viridiplantae; Streptophyta; Magnoliopsida; Arecales; Arecaceae
Description: long non-coding RNA (EGUI_LNC020931)
Source: RNAcentral